CGAUGACGGACAUAUCAAACCCGUACGGGAGAGGAGCGGAGUCAACCCAUCAGACGGUGCAGCUUUCAUCGGCCGACAGAGAAGCCAGGGUGCUGAGGUACAGGGAGAAGAGAAAGAACAGAAAGUUCGAGAAGACGAUCCGCUACGCCUCCAGGAAAGCUUACGCAGAGAUGCGGCCUAGGAUCAAAGGAAGGUUCGCCAAGCGCAGUGACAUCGAAGUCGAAGCCGACCGCCGUAACAUGUAUGGAUUCGGAGUCGUACCCUCGUUUUAAACAAUCAGUUUAACCCCCCUCCGCCCACCUCUCCCCUUCUGCUGUAGUAAUAUUAUUUUUAUUGUUAAAUUUUGGGUUUUUAAUUAUCAAGUCUUUCACUUUGUUCAUCUUUCUCUCCCUCUCUCUCUCUCUGUCUUUCGCUCCUUCUGUCCUGAGGUUUUAUCAGGGAAAGGAUUUUG
This 451-nucleotide long non-coding RNA is filed under the name Theobroma cacao (cacao). RNAcentral describes it as "long non-coding RNA (TCAC_LNC005052)". The record is from RNAcentral. Lineage: Eukaryota; Viridiplantae; Streptophyta; Magnoliopsida; Malvales; Malvaceae.